This 403-nucleotide ribosomal RNA is filed under the name uncultured bacterium. RNAcentral's name for it is "bacterial SSU rRNA". It matches the Rfam family "Bacterial small subunit ribosomal RNA", at positions 356 to 773 of the family's 1533-position model. The record is from RNAcentral.
GAAGAAUAUUGGGCAAUGGGGGAAACCCUGACCCAGCAACGCCGCGUGAAGGAAGAAGGUUUUCGGAUUGUAAACUUCUGUCCCAUGAGACGAAACAAAUGACGGUACCAUGGGAGGAAGCCCCGGCUAACUACGUGCCAGCAGCCGCGGUAAUACGUAGGGGGCAAGCGUUGUCCGGAAUUAUUGGGCGUAAAGGGUGUGUAGGCGGCCUUUCAAGUUGGAUGUGAAAUCCCCGUGCUUAACAUGGGAAUUGCAUUCAAAACUGGAGGGCUUGAGUGUGGAAGAGGUAAGUGGAAUUCCCAGUGUAGCGGUGAAAUGCGUAGAUAUUGGGAGGAACACCAGUGGCGAAGGCGACUUACUGGGCCACAACUGACGCUGAGGCACGAAAGCGUGGGGAGCAAAC